Ananas comosus (pineapple) is the source of this 424-nucleotide long non-coding RNA. RefSeq lists it as uncharacterized. The record is from RefSeq and is a predicted model, not a curated record. The transcript has 3 exons. Lineage: Eukaryota; Viridiplantae; Streptophyta; Magnoliopsida; Poales; Bromeliaceae.
GUUCAGAGAACGGGGUUUGAAACCUUCUCUUUCUCUCUCUAUGGUUUUGAGGUAUUUUUGAGUAAGAAAGUAAGAUUUGAGCUAGUUUCUUUCCUCUCUCUUGUUGCUAGCUGGGUUGGUGACUUGUGGAGCUGCUUUUGGAGGUGUGGGAAGACUUGUUUAGCUGUGUUUCGCAGCUCUAACUCAGUAGGGAACUGAAUUGAAGCUUUGUGAGCAGGUUCGCAGCAGGCUUGGGUGAAGCAUUAUGGCUGAGUUUGGUGACUAUUGUAGGUUGGUUUGGAUGUGCUCCAAUCUGAAUUGAAGUGGAAUUUAAGUUCGGGAUUCUAUACUAGGGUGCUUGGAAGCCAGCGGAUACCUUCGCUCGCGGGAUCGACAAAGUUGACAGCAAUUUGGUGGGUUUGACCUUUCCGAAAUGGGUGAAUUC